ACGGGGGGCGCAAGCGUUAUUCGGAAUUAUUGGGCGUAAAGGGCGCGUAGGCGGUCUUAUCAGUCAGAUGUGAAAGCCCGGGGCUCAACCCUGGAAGUGCAUUUGAAACAGUAAGACUUGAGUACGGGAGAGGAAAGCAGAAUUCCUGGUGUAGAGGUGAAAUUCGUAGAUAUCAGGAGGAACACCGAUGGCGAAGGCAGCUUUCUGGACCGAUACUGACGCUGAGGCGCGAAGGCGUGGGGAGCGAACGGG
Molecule: ribosomal RNA, 252 nt
Filed under: uncultured bacterium
Lineage: Bacteria
Description: partial 16S ribosomal RNA
Rfam family: Bacterial small subunit ribosomal RNA
Source: RNAcentral